UACGUAGGGGGCAAGCGUUGUCCGGAAUCAUUGGGCGUAAAGAGCGCGUAGGCGGCCAGAUAAGUCCGGUGUGAAAGUCACAGGCUCAACCUGUGAAUGCCGCAGGAAACUGUCUGGCUUGAGUCCGGAAGGGGCGAGUGGAAUUCCUGGUGUAGCGGUGAAAUGCGCAGAUAUCAGGAAGAACACCAAUGGCGAAAGCAGCUCUCUGGGACGGUACUGACGCUGAGACGCGAAAGCGUGGGGAGCGAACAGG
Molecule: ribosomal RNA, 253 nt
Filed under: uncultured bacterium
Lineage: Bacteria
Description: partial 16S ribosomal RNA
Rfam family: Bacterial small subunit ribosomal RNA
Source: RNAcentral